GGAUGUAUAGCUCAGGGUAGAAUGCGUGCUUAGCAUCCGUGAGAUCCUGGGUCCAAUCCCCAGUACCUCCA
Molecule: transfer RNA, 71 nt
Filed under: Camelus bactrianus (Bactrian camel)
Lineage: Eukaryota; Metazoa; Chordata; Mammalia; Artiodactyla; Camelidae
Also listed under: 2 other names
Rfam family: tRNA
About the family: Transfer RNA (tRNA) molecules are approximately 80 nucleotides in length.
Source: Rfam by way of RNAcentral